Molecule: ribosomal RNA, 391 nt
Filed under: Paracalanus sp.
Lineage: Eukaryota; Metazoa; Arthropoda; Copepoda; Calanoida; Paracalanidae
Description: partial small subunit ribosomal RNA
Rfam family: Eukaryotic small subunit ribosomal RNA
Source: RNAcentral
AUUCCAGCUCCAAUAGCGUAUAUUAAAGUUGUUGUGGUUAAAAAGCUCGUAGUUGGAUCUCAACAGCCUUGAAGCGGUUAACUUUGUAGUUUUACUGCUUUAUAGGCUGUGCUUUUGCUGGAGGUUUAGGGGUGCUCUUGAUCGAGUGUCUCUGGAUGCCAGCAGGUUUACUUUGAAAAAAUUAGAGUGCUCAAAGCAGGCUAAAAUGCCUGAAUAUUCGUGCAUGGAAUAAUAGAAUAGGAUGUCGAUCCUAUUUUGUUGGUUUUCGGGACUCGACGUAAUGAUAAAUAGGGACAGUCGGGGGCAUUUGUAUUCAAACGACAGAGGUGAAAUUCUUGGAUUUCUGAAAGACGAGCUACUGCGAAAGCAUUUACCAAGGAUGUUUUCAUUG